This 421-nucleotide long non-coding RNA is filed under the name Lathyrus oleraceus (garden pea). Its description in RNAcentral is "Pisum sativum (pea) long non-coding RNA (PSAT_LNC015958)". Lineage: Eukaryota; Viridiplantae; Streptophyta; Magnoliopsida; Fabales; Fabaceae. The record is from RNAcentral.
AUGACAUGAUGGCAAAGUCCCAAGCAGAAGUGGGGCAUCUGGGGAAUCAGGGGCAAGUUGUUUGACCGGGUUGAGACAACUCAGACGGAUAUUGAGUCCGAAUCAGUGCACUUGUGGAGUGCUGUCCGGUGAAAUACUGAGGCUUAUUGUGAGCAAAUAAGAGGAAUCAAGGUUGAUCCUGCAAAAAAAAGCAAAAAAAAAAAAGAGAAGAGGAAAAAAAAAGAAAAGAAAAAGUAAGUCAGAAAUGCCUGAACCGAAAAAGAGGUCAAACGGUUAGGUAGGAUAAUGAUUGCCAAGGGCCAUUUGAGAAACAAAAAGAAUAAGUUGCAGGAACCUCUGAUUCUGUUAAUCUGGUACUGGACAGCCCUCGAGGGGUCUAUGAGGUGCGUAUUGUGUCAGCAUGACGAGUGUUGUCGAAAAG